GAUGAACGCUAGCUAUAGGCUUAACACAUGUAAGUCGAGGGGAAACGGCAUUAUGUGCUUGCACAUUUUGGACGUCGACCGGCGCACGGGUGAGUAUCGCGUAUCCAACCUGCCCUUUACUUGGGGAUACCCCGUUGAAAGACGGCCUAAUACCCGAUGUAAUUCAUUGAUGGCAUCAGAUAUGAAUAAAAGAUUUAUCGGUAAAGGAUGGGGAUGCGUCUGAUUAGCUUGUUGGUGAGGUAAAGGCUCACCAAGGCGACGAUCAGUAGGGGUUCUGAGAGGAAGGUCCCCCACAUUGGAACUGAGACACGGUCCAAACUCCUACGGGAGGCAGCAGUGAGGAAUAUUGGUCAAUGGACGGAAGUCUGAACCAGCCAAGUAGCGUGCAGGAAGACGGCCCUAUGGGUUGUAAACUGCUUUUAUACGAGAAUAAUUUGAUGCACGUGUGCGUUAUUGCAUGUAUCGUAUGAAUAAGGACCGGCUAAUUCCGUGCCAGCAGCCGCGGUAAUACGGAAGGUCCAGGCGUUAUCCGGAUUUAUUGGGUUUAAAGGGAGUGUAGGCGGUUUGUUAAGCGUGUUGUGAAAUUUAGAUGCUCAACAUUUAACUUGCAGCGCGAACUGUCAGACUUGAGUACACGCAACGUAUGCGGAAUUCAUGGUGUAGCAGUGAAAUGCUUAGAUAUCAUGAAGAACUCCGAUUGCGAAGGCAGCAUACGGGAGUGUAACUGACGCUUAAGCUCGAAGGUGCGGGUAUCGAACAGG
This 761-nucleotide ribosomal RNA is filed under the name uncultured Prevotella sp. RNAcentral describes it as "bacterial SSU rRNA". It matches the Rfam family "Bacterial small subunit ribosomal RNA", at positions 28 to 776 of the family's 1533-position model. The record is from RNAcentral. Lineage: Bacteria; Pseudomonadati; Bacteroidota; Bacteroidia; Bacteroidales; Prevotellaceae.